GGAAGGUCCGGGCGUUAUCCGGAUUUAUUGGGUUUAAAGGGAGCGUAGGCCGGAGAUUAAGCGUGUUGUGAAAUGUAGAUGCUCAACGUCUGCACUGCAGCGCGAACUGGUUUCCUUGAGUACGCACAAAGUGGGCGGAAUUCGUGGUGUAGCGGUGAAAUGCUUAGAUAUCACGAAGAACUCCGAUUGCGAAGGCAGCUCACUGGAGCGCAACUGACGCUGAAGCUCGAAAGUGCGGGUAUCGAACAGGAUUAGAUACCCUGGUAGUCCGCACGGUAAACGAUGGAUGCCCGCUGUUGGUCUGAAUAGGUCAGCGGCCAAGCGAAAGCAUUAAGCAUCCCACCUGGGGAGU
This 352-nucleotide ribosomal RNA is filed under the name uncultured bacterium. Its description in RNAcentral is "bacterial SSU rRNA". It matches the Rfam family "Bacterial small subunit ribosomal RNA", at positions 527 to 881 of the family's 1533-position model. The record is from RNAcentral.